GCUGACAUAAGUAACGAUAAUGCGGGUGAAAAACCCGCACGCCGGAAGACCAAGGGUUCCUGUCCAACGUUAAUCGGGGCAGGGUGAGUCGACCCCUAAGGCGAGGCUGAAAAGCGUAGUCGAUGGGAAACGGGUUAAUAUUCCCGUACUGGUGGUAACUGCGAUGGGGGAACGGAGAAGGCUAGGUUGUCCGGGCGACGGUCGUCCCGGUUCAAGCAGGUAGGCAGAGUGAUUAGGCAAAUCCGGUCACUUAAUGCUGAGAUGUGAUGACGAACCACCAAGGUGGUGAAGCAAUUGAUGCCCCGCUUCCAGGAAAAGCCUCUAAGCUUCAGGUUACCAACAAUCGUACCCCAAACCGACACAGGUGGUCAGGUAGAGAAUACUCAGGCGCUUGAGAGAACUCGGGUGAAGGAACUAGGCAAAAUGGUGCCGUAAC
RNAcentral lists this ribosomal RNA (436 nucleotides) under Proteus mirabilis. RNAcentral's name for it is "partial 23S ribosomal RNA". It matches the Rfam family "Bacterial large subunit ribosomal RNA", at positions 1296 to 1734 of the family's 2925-position model. Lineage: Bacteria; Pseudomonadati; Pseudomonadota; Gammaproteobacteria; Enterobacterales; Morganellaceae. The record is from RNAcentral.